AUUGAACGCUGGCGGCAUGCUUUACACAUGCAAGUCGAACGGUAACAGGCCUUCGGGUGCUGACGAGUGGCGAACGGGUGAGUAAUGCAUCGGAACGUGCCCAAUCGUGGGGGAUAACGUAGCGAAAGUUACGCUAAUACCGCAUAAGCCCUGAGGGGGAAAGCAGGGGAUCGCAAGACCUUGCGCGAAUGGAGCGGCCGAUGUCAGAUUAGCUAGUUGGUGGGGUAAACGGCCUACCAAGGCGACGAUCUGUAGCGGGUCUGAGAGGAUGAUCCGCCACACUGAGACUGAGACACGGCCCAGACUCCUACGGGAGGCAGCAGUGGGGAAUUUUAGACAAUGGGCGCAAGCCUGAUCCAGCCAUGCCGCGUGCGGGACGAAGCCUUCGGUGUAACCGCUUCAGCCGGAAGAAUACGCCAAGGCUAAUAUCCUUGGUGGAUGACGGUACCGGAAGAAGAAGCACCGG
RNAcentral lists this ribosomal RNA (466 nucleotides) under uncultured bacterium. RNAcentral's name for it is "bacterial SSU rRNA". It matches the Rfam family "Bacterial small subunit ribosomal RNA", at positions 29 to 496 of the family's 1533-position model. The record is from RNAcentral.